This 364-nucleotide unclassified non-coding RNA is filed under the name Hevea brasiliensis (rubber tree). The record is from RNAcentral. Lineage: Eukaryota; Viridiplantae; Streptophyta; Magnoliopsida; Malpighiales; Euphorbiaceae.
GUUUUUAGUAAGUAUAGCUUUGGAUCAAACUUAAUUUUAUCGCUGAAAGCUAAGAAUGAUAACAUUUGGUUACCGAUUGCCACCAGCUGAUCAAAGCUGUUGAACCAAACUGGCCCUUCAUAUUUUUUAUUUGUAGUUGAAGAUGAAAUGAAACAAACCAAAGGAUCAUUGUGGUUGUUGGUUGUGGCGUCUGGUGAUUGAUGAAAGCCAAAGAUUGGCAGAGUGGUCAGUGGACUAAUGGAAAUUUGUUUAUGUGAUUCCUUGAUAGCUUCCAUCUUCUUUUUAGUUUGUGAUAGUCUGGAAAAUUACUUUGUUUUUUUCUUCUUGAUAAAUUUCUAAGCUCCUUAAACACUGAAAAUUGCGA